GUCCAGGCUUUUAUAUCAGCAUCCUUUUAAGACAUAGCCAAGGCAGCCCCCUGUAUUAGAAUACGGCUAAGAGAACAAGGCCUCUCCCUGCCUGAUCUGGCUGCAAGUGAGCAGCUGCUGGCUUGCCAUGGACGUCGUCUGGGGGAACUCACUCCUCUGCGUUUGCCAUUCAACCAUAUUUCUGUUUGAAGAUGUGUUUCUGUUUUCCUUUUAGUUCUGUAUGUGUUUAAAACCUAAACUACUCACAGAAAAUGCAAACUGCUCCUGAACACCCACAUCCAGGACAUGUUAGUGAUCUAGGCUAACCUUCCAUCUCAACCCGCCAAGUGCUGGAUUACAGAUGUGCACCACCUGGCAGAGGGCUGGAUUACAGAUGUGCACCACCUGGCAGAGGGCUGGAUUACAGAUGUGCACCACCUGGCAGAGGGCUGGAUUACAGAUGUGCACCACCUGGCAGAGGGCUGGAUUACAGAUGUGCACCACCUGGCAGAGGGCUUGCCUUAUUCUUCUGACACUCAUCAUUUUCUUCAAGGAAAGGAAAUGACACUGUAUAUGUGUGCUGCAUUUUCUUUGCUCCUUCCCGUCCUUGGGGACUCCAGUGACGAGUGUGACAAGGACUGCUGCCAAGAAAACAUCUUAGAAGUGUUGAUUUGGAGUUCUUUGGGGGUAAAAAGAGAGCUGGCCAAGCAUGAGCAGGAAGGAACAGAAGAGUAAAAGUUGUGGUCAGAAGUGGCACCAGCGUCCUGAGCAGCAGGAAACAAGAGCCAACCAGAUGAAAUGAUAAGACACCAGGAGGCAGUGUGGCCCAUAGAGUUGGUAGGUUUAGUAGCUCGAAACUAAUCUCUUCAAUAUCCACCAUAUGGAAGCAAGCUAGAAGCCUGUCGACUGCUCAAUGGAAAAAAGAAAAUGAGGUAUAUAUACUUCAACAAAGGAAUUCUGUUCAGCCAUAAAGAAUAAUGAAAUUAUGACAUUUGUGGGAAAAUGAAUGAAACCAGAGAUCAUUAUGUUAAUGAACUAAAACAGACAGGCAAAUGCCACAGUUCCUCUAGCAUGUGAAAUCUAUAUUUAAAUGGGAUAUGAAAGUAGGAAUUUUGACAGGAGACCAUGAGGCCUAAUAGGAAGGGCAGAGGACAAGUGAGAAUAACAACCAGAAGACACAGAAGCAGGAGGGGAAUCCAUGCUUCCACUCACUGAGGAGACCACACACACACACACACACACACACACACACACACACACACACACACGAGAGGGAGAGAGAGAGAGAGAGGAGAGGGAGGGAGCACACACACACACACAAGAGAGAGA
Non-coding RNA from Rattus norvegicus (Norway rat), 1308 nucleotides. NCBI's taxonomy places the organism in Eukaryota, Metazoa, Chordata, Mammalia, Rodentia, Muridae. The record is from RefSeq and is a predicted model, not a curated record.